RNAcentral lists this ribosomal RNA (301 nucleotides) under uncultured bacterium. RNAcentral describes it as "partial 16S ribosomal RNA". It matches the Rfam family "Bacterial small subunit ribosomal RNA", at positions 509 to 807 of the family's 1533-position model. The record is from RNAcentral.
CAGCAGCCACGGGAAUACGAAGGGUGCAAGCGUUACUCGGAAUUACUGGGCGUAAAGCGUGCGUAGGUGGUGGUUUAAGUCCGUUGUGAAAGCCCUGGGCUCAACCUGGGAAUUGCAGUGGAUACUGGGUCACUAGAGUGUGGUAGAGGAUAGUGGAACUUCCGGUGUAGCAGUGAAAUGCGUAGAGAUCGGAAGGAACAUCUGUGGCGAAGGCGACUAUCUGGGCCAACACUGACACUGAGGCACGAAAGCGUGGGGAGCAAACAGGAUUAGAUACCCCCGUAGUCCCUGUCUCUUAUAC